AGAAUGAACGCUGGCGGCGCGCCUAAUACAUGCAAGUCGAGCGAGAAGACGUAGCAAUACGUUUGUAAAGCGGCGAACGGGUGAGGAAUACAUGGGUAACCUACCCUUGAGUGGGGAAUAACUAGCCGAAAGGUUAGCUAAUACCGCGUACCGCUCCUUGGACUUCGGUUCAGGAAGGAAAGCGCUACCGUGGGUAGCGCGCUCUUGGAUGGGCUCAUGUCCUAUCAGCUUGUUGGUGAGGUAACGGCUCACCAAGGCUUCGACGGGUAGCUGGUCUGAGAGGACGAUCAGCCACACUGGCACUGCGACACGGGCCAGACUCCGUACGGAGGCAGCAGUAAGGAUAUGCGCAAGUGGGACGAAGCCUGACGCACGCGACCGGCCGGCGGUGGGGGAUGGAGGUCGUUCGGUAGUUUACCGGUUAAACCCCGUUUGGGAA
This 439-nucleotide ribosomal RNA is filed under the name uncultured soil bacterium. RNAcentral describes it as "bacterial SSU rRNA". It matches the Rfam family "Bacterial small subunit ribosomal RNA", at positions 26 to 442 of the family's 1533-position model. The record is from RNAcentral.